RNAcentral lists this ribosomal RNA (370 nucleotides) under uncultured eukaryote. Its description in RNAcentral is "partial 18S ribosomal RNA". It matches the Rfam family "Eukaryotic small subunit ribosomal RNA", at positions 592 to 976 of the family's 1831-position model. The record is from RNAcentral.
CAAUAGCGUAUAUUAAAGUUGUUGCAGUUAAAAAGCUCGUAGUUGGAUUUCUGGUCGGAAGCUCCUGUCCUCUGAUGAGCGUACAAGUGCGUCCUACCAUCCUUCUGUUAACCUUUAAGGCUUUCGCGGCUUUCUAGGGGCUCAGAUAUUUUACCUUGAGAAAAUUAGAGUGUUUCAGGCAGGCUAGCGCCGGAAUACAUUAGCAUGGAAUAAUGGAAUAGGACUUUUGCCUCUUCUGUUGGUCAUGAGGCUCGAGUAAUGAUUAAUAGGGAUAGUUGGGGGCAUUAGUACUUAACUGUCAGAGGUGAAAUUCUCGGAUUUGUUAAAGACUAACUUAUGCGAAANGANNNGCCAAGGAUGUUUUCAUNAA